This is a non-coding RNA of Podarcis lilfordi (Lilford's wall lizard), 842 nucleotides long. The record is from the annotation of a GenBank genome assembly. NCBI's taxonomy places the organism in Eukaryota, Metazoa, Chordata, Lepidosauria, Squamata, Lacertidae.
CUGAAGCAAAGUUCUUAACCUGAAGCACUAUUUCUGGGUUAGCGGCGUCUGUAACCUGAAGUGUAUGUAGCCUGAAGCGUAUGUAACCUGAAGUACCACUGUAGUACGAAAUUCUGUUCUAAGUAUUUGUGGAGCUUUGGUUCAAGUAAACUGAUUUUAUAGAAAUGGUAGGUUUCUGUUUAGCAGCCCUUAAUCCAAUUGUUACAUUCCUUUCCACAGGAAAGGGAAUCUGCAGCUCAACAGUGACUCUGCAAGCCCUCAGGUGAUGUUUUUCAGAGUACCUGCUUCAAGAUUUGCAAGUUACAAUUACCCUUUAUUUCCCCGGCUUCCCCUCCAUACAAAGCCUUUCAGACAGUGGCUGUCCUGGGUGAUUAUCACUGUUUAUUGUGGCACUUAAGUCAAAACUUUUCUCCCUCCCCAGAUUUAUCUGAAACCUGUCUAUCAGUUGGUUUACCUUGAGCUAAACCUCAUCUCCCCAUAUCUUUACUUCUAACAUCUCAUGUGUUAUGCGUGUCACACAAUGUGGCAUAAAAGCACAAAGCAAACUUUCUGACUCCCUUGAUGUAACUUAGGUGGUUUUAGAUGUGCGAGCGCAUAAGCUCGCGGAUCGGUGUUUCUUAGGGACGGCUCUAACCAUGUUAUUGCACUUUGAGAAAGGAGUAAAUAUUGUUUCUCGUUUGAAUUCUAACGUGCGGGGAGAGAAGCAUUGGUACUACAUAGGCGGAAAGAUAACAAAGGUCCAAUUUUCUUUUUUUUCUUUUUUAAAAUAAAUUUUAUUAGUAUUUUCCACACAACAACAACAACACGAAAAACAAUACACAACACACAAAAACCAACAUUAG